This 206-nucleotide ribosomal RNA is filed under the name uncultured bacterium. Its description in RNAcentral is "partial 16S ribosomal RNA". It matches the Rfam family "Bacterial small subunit ribosomal RNA", at positions 568 to 774 of the family's 1533-position model. The record is from RNAcentral.
UGCGUAGGUGGCGUCGUAAGUCGGGCGUGAAAUCUCGGGGCUUAACUCCGAAACUGCAUUCGAUACUGCGGUGCUUGAGGACUGGAGAGGAGACUGGAAUUUACGGUGUAGCAGUGAAAUGCGUAGAGAUCGUAAGGAAGACCAGUGGCGAAGGCGGGUCUCUGGACAGUUCCUGACACUGAGGCACGAAGGCCAGGGAGCAAACG